RNAcentral lists this ribosomal RNA (464 nucleotides) under uncultured bacterium. RNAcentral describes it as "partial 16S ribosomal RNA". It matches the Rfam family "Bacterial small subunit ribosomal RNA", at positions 338 to 795 of the family's 1533-position model. The record is from RNAcentral.
CCUACGGGAUGCAGCAGUAGGGAAUUUUCGUCAAUGGGCGCAAGCCUGAACGAGCAAUGCCGCGUGAACGAGGAAGGUCUUCGGAUCGUAAAGUUCUGUUGAAGGGGAAAAAGAGCGGAGAGAGGAAAUGCUUCCUGAUUGAUUUUACCCUUCGAGGACGUCACGGCUAACGACGUGCCAGCAGCCGCGGUAAUGCGUAGGUGGCGAGCGUUAUCCGGAUUGAUUGGGCGGAAAGGGUGCGUAGGCGGCCUGCUAAGUCUGGCGGGAAAGGUACCGGCUCAACCGGUACAUGCCCUGGAAACUGGCGGGCUAGAGAGCAGGAGAGGGAGGUGGAAUUCAAUGUGUAGCGGUAAAAUGCGUAGAUAUAUGGAAGAACACCAGUGGCGAAGGCGGCCGCCUGGCCUGUUACUGACGCUGAGGCACGAAAGCGUGGGGAGCAAAUAGGAUUAGAGACCCCUGUAGUC